This 947-nucleotide ribosomal RNA is filed under the name Salmonella enterica. RNAcentral describes it as "partial 23S ribosomal RNA". It matches the Rfam family "Bacterial large subunit ribosomal RNA", at positions 1211 to 2141 of the family's 2925-position model. Lineage: Bacteria; Pseudomonadati; Pseudomonadota; Gammaproteobacteria; Enterobacterales; Enterobacteriaceae. The record is from RNAcentral. RNAcentral also lists the same sequence under 1 other name.
ACUCAGGUGUUGUUGGGUAGGGGAGCGUUCUGUAAGCCUGUGAAGGUGGCCUGUGAGGGUUGCUGGAGGUAUCAGAAGUGCGAAUGCUGACAUAAGUAACGAUAAAGCGGGUGAAAAGCCCGCUCGCCGGAAGACCAAGGGUUCCUGUCCAACGUUAAUCGGGGCAGGGUGAGUCGACCCCUAAGGCGAGGCCGAAAGGCGUAGUCGAUGGGAAACGGGUUAAUAUUCCCGUACUUGGUGUUACUGCGAAGGGGGGACGGAGAAGGCUAUGUUGGCCGGGCGACGGUUGUCCCGGUUUAAGCGUGUAGGUGUGUGUUCCAGGUAAAUCCGGUUCACUUUAACACUGAGGCGUGACGACGAGGCACUACGGUGCUGAAGCAACAAAUGCCCUGCUUCCAGGAAAAGCCUCUAAGCAUCAGGUAACAUCAAAUCGUACCCCAAACCGACACAGGUGGUCAGGUAGAGAAUACCAAGGCGCUUGAGAGAACUCGGGUGAAGGAACUAGGCAAAAUGGUGCCGUAACUUCGGGAGAAGGCACGCUGACACGUAGGUGAAGUGAUUUACUCAUGGAGCUGAAGUCAGUCGAAGAUACCAGCUGGCUGCAACUGUUUAUUAAAAACACAGCACUGUGCAAACACGAAAGUGGACGUAUACGGUGUGACGCCUGCCCGGUGCCGGAAGGUUAAUUGAUGGGGUCAGCGCAAGCGAAGCUCCUGAUCGAAGCCCCGGUAAACGGCGGCCGUAACUAUAACGGUCCUAAGGUAGCGAAAUUCCUUGUCGGGUAAGUUCCGACCUGCACGAAUGGCGUAAUGAUGGCCAGGCUGUCUCCACCCGAGACUCAGUGAAAUUGAACUCGCUGUGAAGAUGCAGUGUACCCGCGGCAAGACGGAAAGACCCCGUGAACCUUUACUAUAGCUUGACACUGAACAUUGAGCCUUGAUGUGUAG